RNAcentral lists this ribosomal RNA (378 nucleotides) under Triticum aestivum (bread wheat). RNAcentral's name for it is "partial small subunit ribosomal RNA". The record is from RNAcentral. Lineage: Eukaryota; Viridiplantae; Streptophyta; Magnoliopsida; Poales; Poaceae.
AUGAGCGCCAUGGUGGCGUCGUCGCUCAACCCGGAGGCCCCGCUCUUCAUCCCGGCAGCGUUCCAGCAGGUGGAGGACUUCUCGCCGCAGUGGUGGGACCUCGUCAAGUCCACCGCCUGGUUUCGCGACCACUGGUACCACCAGCACCAGCAGCUCGAUGCCAUGGCCGACUCCCUCGUCGCCUUCGAGGCCGAGGACGCCAUCCACGACGACCUCUUGCACGGCUUCGCUGUCGUCGUCGAGGCUUCGCAGCCGCACCCGCCAGCGGCACUCAAGACUGGUACGUACUCCCAAACCAACUCACCUUGUGAUGUGCCAUGCUCUGGCUGCUGCCGUGCCGCCGUCUCAUCUUUCAAGUCUUCUUCUAGUAUACUGUAG